CCUACGGGGGGCUGCAGUGGGGAAUAUUGCACAAUGGGGGAAACCCUGAUGCAGCGACGCCGCGUGAGUGAAGAAGUAAUUCGUUAUGUAAAGCUCUAUCAGCAGGGAAGAAAAUGACGGUACCUGAGUAAGAAGCCCCGGCUAACUACGUGCCAGCAGCCGCGGUAAUACGUAGGGGGCAAGCGUUAUCCGGAUUUACUGGGUGUAAAGGGAGCGUAGGCGGCAGUGCAAGUCUGGAGUGAAAGGCGGGGGCUCAACCCCCGGACUGCUCUGGAAACUGUACGGCUGGAGUGCAGGAGAGGUAAGUGGAAUUCCUAGUGUAGCGGUGAAAUUCGUAGAUAUUGGGUAGAACACCAGUGGCGAAGGCGACUAUCUGGCUGUACAUUGACGCUGAGGCUCGAAAGCAUGGGGAUCAAACAGGAUUAGAUACCCUUGUAGUC
This 440-nucleotide ribosomal RNA is filed under the name uncultured bacterium. RNAcentral's name for it is "partial 16S ribosomal RNA". It matches the Rfam family "Bacterial small subunit ribosomal RNA", at positions 338 to 795 of the family's 1533-position model. The record is from RNAcentral.